CCUACGGGUGGCAGCAGUGGGGAAUAUUGCUCAAUGGGCGAAAGCCUGACGCAGCGACGCCGCGUGAGGGAUGAAUGUCUUCUGAUCGGAAACCUCUGUCUGCAGGGAAGUACGGUCACUGUGCUAAUCAUCAGUGAAUUGACGUUAUCUGCAAAGGAAGCACCGGCUAACUCCGUGCCAGCAGCUGCGGUAAUACGGAGGGUCCGAGCGUUAAUCGGAAUUACUGGGCGUAAAGCGCUCGUAGACGGUAUGUCAAGUCAAGGGUGAAAUCCCUGGGCUCAACGUGAAAACUGCAUUUGAUACUGGCAGACUGGAGUAUAUGUGAGGAUAGUGGAAUUCCAGGUGUAGGAGUGAAAUCCGUAGAUAUCUGGAGGAACAUC
RNAcentral lists this ribosomal RNA (380 nucleotides) under uncultured bacterium. Its description in RNAcentral is "partial 16S ribosomal RNA". It matches the Rfam family "Bacterial small subunit ribosomal RNA", at positions 338 to 710 of the family's 1533-position model. The record is from RNAcentral.